Molecule: ribosomal RNA, 496 nt
Filed under: uncultured bacterium
Lineage: Bacteria
Description: partial 16S ribosomal RNA
Rfam family: Bacterial small subunit ribosomal RNA
Source: RNAcentral
AUGAACGCUGGCGGCGUGCCUAAUACAUGCAAGUCGAGCGAACAGACGAGGAGCUUGCUCCUCUGACGUUAGCGGCGGCCGGGUGAGUAACCCGUGGAUAACCUACCUAUAAGACUGGGAUAACUUCGGGAAACCGGAGCUAAUACCGGAUAAUAUAUUGAACCGCAUGGUUCAAUAGUGAAAGACGGUUUUGCUGUCACUUAUAGAUGGAUCCGCGCCGCAUUAGCUAGUUGGUAAGGUAACGGCUUACCAAGGCAACGAUGCGUAGCCGACCUGAGAGGGUGAUCGGCCACACUGGAACUGAGACACGGUCCAGACUCCUACGGGAGGCAGCAGUAGGGAAUCUUCCGCAAUGGGCGAAAGCUUGACGGAGCAACGCCGCGUGAGUGAUGAAGGUCUUCGGAUCGUAAAACUCUGUUAUUAGGGAAGAACAAAUGUGUAAGUAACUAUGCACGUCUUGACGGUACCUAAUCAGAAAGCCACGGCUAACUACGUG